GAGGGUAUAGCUCAGUGGUAGAGUGUGUGCUUAGAAUGCACAUAUCCGGGGUUGAAUCCCCAGUACUGCCA
RNAcentral lists this transfer RNA (71 nucleotides) under Camelus ferus (Wild Bactrian camel). It matches the Rfam family "tRNA". Rfam says of the family: Transfer RNA (tRNA) molecules are approximately 80 nucleotides in length. The record is from Rfam by way of RNAcentral. Lineage: Eukaryota; Metazoa; Chordata; Mammalia; Artiodactyla; Camelidae.